RNAcentral lists this ribosomal RNA (322 nucleotides) under uncultured eukaryote. RNAcentral describes it as "partial 18S ribosomal RNA". It matches the Rfam family "Eukaryotic small subunit ribosomal RNA", at positions 1470 to 1796 of the family's 1831-position model. The record is from RNAcentral.
CCCUUAGAUGUUCUGGGCCGCACGCGUGCUACACUGAGUGGAUCAGCGGGUCAGGUUGCGCGAAAGUGUUUCCUAAUCUUUAAAUCCGCUCGUGAUGGGGAUUGACGGUUGCAAUUUUCCGUCAUGAACGAGGAAUACCUUGUAAGCGCGGGUCAUCAUCCCGCGCUGAAUACGUCCCUGCCCUUUGUACACACCGCCCGUCGCUCCUACCGAUUGAGUGGUCCGGUGAGGCUUUGGGAUCUGAGCGAAAAGAGCGUUUCGCUGUUUCUGCCCGGAAAACUCAGUCGAACCUUAUCAUUUAGAGGAAGGAGAAGUCGUAACA